RNAcentral lists this ribosomal RNA (823 nucleotides) under uncultured Bacteroidota bacterium. RNAcentral describes it as "bacterial SSU rRNA". It matches the Rfam family "Bacterial small subunit ribosomal RNA", at positions 43 to 865 of the family's 1533-position model. Lineage: Bacteria; Pseudomonadati; Bacteroidota. The record is from RNAcentral.
CAGGCCUAACACAUGCAAGUCGAACGGCAAGUUUUGUAGCAAUACGGAACCUAGAGUGACGUACGGGUGCGUAACACGUAUGCAACCUACCCAUAACUGGAGGAUAGCUCCCCGAAAGGGGAAUUAACCCUCCAUAGUAAGAUUGAGUGGCAUCAUUUGAUCUUUAAAACUCCGGUGGUUAUGGAUGGGCAUGCGUCUGAUUAGUUAGUUGGCGGUGUAACGGACCACCAAGACGAUGAUCAGUAGGGGAACUGAGAGGUUGAUCCCCCACACUGGCACUGAGAUACGGGCCAGACUCCUACGGGAGGCAGCAGUAGGGAAUAUUGGUCAAUGGAUGCAAGUCUGAACCAGCCAUGCCGCGUGCAGGAAGAAGGCCCUAUGGGUUGUAAACUGCUUUUGUCAGGGGAUAAAAUGGGCGUGCGCGCCUAAUUGAAGGUACCUGGCGAAUAAGCCACGGCUAACUACGUGCCAGCAGCCGCGGUAAUACGUAGGUGGCAAGCGUUGUCCGGAUUUAUUGGGUUUAAAGGGUGCGUAGGCGGUCCUAUAAGUCAGUGCUGAAAUAUCCCGGCUUAACCGGGAGGGUGGCAUUGAUACUGUAGGACUUGAGUAAAGUUGAGGUUGGCGGAAUUGACGGUGUAGCGGUGAAAUGCUUAGAUAUCGUCAAGAACACCUAUUGCGAAGGCAGCUAACUAAGCUUUAACUGACGCUGAGGCACGAAAGUGUGGGGAUCAAACAGGAUUAGAUACCCUGGUAGUCCACACUGUAAACGUUGAUUACUCGCUGUUGGCGAUACACAGCCAGCGGCCAAGCGCAAGCGAUAAGU